This 301-nucleotide ribosomal RNA is filed under the name uncultured bacterium. Its description in RNAcentral is "partial 16S ribosomal RNA". It matches the Rfam family "Bacterial small subunit ribosomal RNA", at positions 509 to 808 of the family's 1533-position model. The record is from RNAcentral.
CAGCCGCCGCGGUAAUACGUAGGUGGCAAGCGUUGUCCGGAAUUAUUGGGCGUAAAGGGCUCGCAGGCGGUUUCUUAAGUCUGAUGUGAAAGCCCCCGGCUCAACCGGGGAGGGUCAUUGGAAACUGGGAAACUUGAGUGCAGAAGAGGAGAGUGGAAUUCCACGUGUAGCGGUGAAAUGCGUAGAGACGUGAGGAACACCAGUGGCGAAGGCGACUCUCUGGUCUGUAACUGACGCUGAGGAGCGAAAGCGUGGGGAGCGAACAGGAUUAGAUACCCGAGUAGUCCCUGUCUCUUAUACA